Molecule: ribosomal RNA, 292 nt
Filed under: uncultured Bacteroidota bacterium
Lineage: Bacteria; Pseudomonadati; Bacteroidota
Description: uncultured Bacteroidetes bacterium partial 16S ribosomal RNA
Source: RNAcentral
GGACUACACGGGUAUCUAAUCCUGUUUGAUCCCCGCACUUUCGAGCCUCAGCGUCAGUUACAUUUUUGUGAGCUGCCUUCGCAAUCGGUGUUCUAUGACAUAUCUAAGUAUUUCACCACUACAUGUCAUAUUCCGCCCACAGCAAAUGUACUCUAGACUGGCAGUAUCAAUGGCAGUUUCCGGGUUAAGCCCGGAGAUUUCACCACUGACUUACAAGCCCGCCUACGCUCCCUUUAAACCCAAUGAAUCCGGAUAACGCUUGCAUCCUUCGUCUUACCGCGGCGGCUGGCAC